RNAcentral lists this transfer RNA (87 nucleotides) under Candidatus Margulisiibacteriota bacterium. RNAcentral's name for it is "tRNA-Ser". It matches the Rfam family "tRNA". From Rfam's summary of the family: Transfer RNA (tRNA) molecules are approximately 80 nucleotides in length. Their secondary structure includes four short double-helical elements and three loops (D, anti-codon, and T loops). Lineage: Bacteria; Bacillati; Candidatus Margulisiibacteriota. The record is from RNAcentral.
GGAGGAGUGGCAGAGUGGUCUAUUGCGGCGGUCUUGAAAACCGUUGUGCCCUCGCGGGCACCGUGGGUUCAAAUCCUACCUCCUCCG